AACGAACGCUGGCGGCAUGCCUAACACAUGCAAGUCGAACGAGACCUUCGGGUCUAGUGGCGCACGGGUGCGUAACGCGUGGGAACCUGCCCUUAGGUUCGGAAUAACUCCCCGAAAGGGGUGCUAAUACCGGAUAAUGUCUUCGGACCAAAGAUUUAUCGCCUUUGGUUGGGCCCGCGUUGGAUUAGCUAGUUGGUAGGGUAAAAGCCUACCAAGGCGACGAUCCAUAGCUGGUCUGAGAGGAUGAUCAGCCACACUGGGACUGAGACACGGCCCAGACUCCUACGGGGGGCAGCAGUGGUUAAUAUUGGACAAUGGGCGAAAGCCUGAUCCAGCAAUGCCGCGUGAGUGAUGAAGGCCUUAGGGUUGUAAAGCUCUUUUACCCGGGAUGAUAAUGACAGUACCGGGAGAAGAAGCUCCGGCUAACUCCGUG
RNAcentral lists this ribosomal RNA (433 nucleotides) under uncultured bacterium. Its description in RNAcentral is "partial 16S ribosomal RNA". It matches the Rfam family "Bacterial small subunit ribosomal RNA", at positions 29 to 507 of the family's 1533-position model. The record is from RNAcentral.